UUGAGCUUGAUAUAUAAUAAUAUAUUGGAUCUUUUCAAAAACAAAUAUUCAUUACAGUGAGUUGGGAAUUCAACUUUUUUAACAACAUAUUCUAGACUCCACCUGUGUUGAACAGGUUAAAAUCGAAAUAAAUAUUUCAGUUUCGGAACACUCAUUGAAUGUAAUACGUCGUUGUGAUGAUUUGUAUUUUGCCCCAAAAUUUUAGACGGAGUUUUCCUAAGCUUCUCUACAAGUUCGAUUCCAAUUUGCUCAACAAGCUAAUAUUAAGAUCUUUUGUGUGUAAAACAUAAGUUCGACUUUGCCCUGAAGAAGUAGAAAUAUAUCUACGAAACGUU
Long non-coding RNA from Coccinella septempunctata (seven-spotted ladybird), 335 nucleotides. RefSeq lists it as uncharacterized. Lineage: Eukaryota; Metazoa; Arthropoda; Insecta; Coleoptera; Coccinellidae. The record is from RefSeq and is a predicted model, not a curated record. The transcript has 2 exons.